GGGGAUGUGGCUCAAGUGGUAGAGUGCUCGCCUAGCAUGUGUGAGGCACUGGGUUCGAUUCUCAGCACCA
RNAcentral lists this transfer RNA (70 nucleotides) under Marmota monax (woodchuck). It matches the Rfam family "tRNA". From Rfam's summary of the family: Transfer RNA (tRNA) molecules are approximately 80 nucleotides in length. Their secondary structure includes four short double-helical elements and three loops (D, anti-codon, and T loops). The record is from Rfam by way of RNAcentral. Lineage: Eukaryota; Metazoa; Chordata; Mammalia; Rodentia; Sciuridae. RNAcentral also lists the same sequence under 1 other name.